GCGGGGGAGGAAGAGAGGAAGAUAAGAAUGAGAGGAAGCAGAAGGAGCGGGAGAACACAAGAGGGCGUAGUCACACACGGGCGCAACACCUGAGGGGACGAGUACAGCAGGAGUUUCCACAACAGGAAAUGACACGUGAGUUUCACUGCACUGUAGUGACUUCUCUUCAGUUGGACGUCAACAGGAAAAUACUUAUAUUAACACGUAGCAAAGGAGCAGUCAGUAAAAACACCGGUUUGGUCUGGUCUUUUAGGACCAAGACAAACCGGGUCAUUACCUUUAAUGUGAUCUGGUUAAGUGAAUAACCUGAGGAACAGCCCUGAGGACAUCUCCUCUGAAGACAGCCUCCACCUCCUAUUGUCUGAGCCACAGAAAAUAACUCUCGUUUUGCUGCGGUGACUUCUCUUUUAUUAAACAGGAAUUGCUGUGGUGCAGUGGUUCUCAAAGUGGGGGGCAUGGAGCGGAGGGAGAGCAGCAGCAAUACCCCUAGCUACCAAAGCAAAAGAAACAGCAGAACCAGCCGAGCUUGUUGUUAUUCAACACAGGUGUUUGGAGCUGUUUACCAUGAGGAGGUCAAAUCUGGAUAGAUACUGAACAAUGAUGAACAGGACACCUCAACACAGUCAUCUCCAUAGACGCCUGCAGCACCGGGUCUCUAUUGGCCUAUCAGCUUGUUAUGUGUGAGUAAUGGCCGGGUCUGCCUGGCCCAAGGGAACUGAGGCAGGUUGUGCUUAGUUUGAGCUGUGAAAUAUGACACUCUCUCUUGCAGAGUAAUAACGCUGCUCUGUUUCUAACCACCAGGGAAACCUGUUUGUUUCUUCAUGGCAAAGAGGACGGUGUGGCAUCAGUCUUACACUAACUAAUUAUUUUCUGUCAUGCCCCCCCUUGAGGACAGAAAUGUUUUUACACCCCCCUGACCAAAACCCCCGCAAUUUGAAAUACUUUUGAGAACCUGAUAACAUGUAUAUUUUUAACUGUGCAAACCACUGUAUGAGUUGCUGCCACCUAGUGACUGGAGGCUUGUUGUCAUUCAAGCAUUACAGCAGUGGCAUAUUCCAUUCUCACCACCGCCCCUGGCACCUCGCCGUGCCCGCCCAUGGGAUCCCGCCCACUAUUUGAGAAGUACUGCAUUAAUUGUAUGUAUGUUUUUGAGACGUUAUCUCUUGAUCAAAGAACGCAAGUCAUUUACAGACAGUGGGUCGGAGGUUCUUAAAGGUACGUCAUUGUGACCCACGUUGAGAACUGACCAUAUCAACCACAGAGUGACAUUCAAUGUUUCAAAUAUUUUAUACGCUGGUGUUGUGUUGGCAUAAGUCCUGCAUGACAUGACAGCAGAAGCAGGAAGUUUUGGUCAUGACGACUAUUGUUACAGUCUGUGUUAUCA
This is a long non-coding RNA of Cynoglossus semilaevis (tongue sole), 1384 nucleotides long. RefSeq lists it as uncharacterized. Lineage: Eukaryota; Metazoa; Chordata; Actinopteri; Pleuronectiformes; Cynoglossidae. The transcript has 4 exons. The record is from RefSeq and is a predicted model, not a curated record.